GAUGAACGCUGGCGGCGUGCCUCAUACAUGCAAGUCGAGCGAACAGAUGAGGAGCUUGCUCCUCUGACGUUAGCGGCGGACGGGUGAGUAACACGUGGAUAACCUACCUAUAAGACUGGGAUAACUUCGGGAAACCGGAGCUAAUACCGGAUAAUAUAUUGAACCGCAUGGUUCAAUAGUGAAAGACGGUUUUGCUGUCACUUAUAGAUGGAUCCGCGCCGCAUUAGCUAGUUGGUAAGGUAACGGCUUACCAAGGCAACGAUGCGUAGCCGACCUGAGAGGGUGAUCGGCCACACUGGAACUGAGACACGGUCCAGACUCCUACGGGAGGCAGCAGUAGGGAAUCUUCCGCAAUGGGCGAAAGCCUGACGGAGCAACGCCGCGUGAGUGAUGAAGGUCUUCGGAUCGUAAAACUCUGUUAUUAGGGAAGAACAAAUGUGUAAGUAACUAUGCACGUCUUGACGGUACCUAAUCAGAAAGCCACGGCUAACUACGUG
RNAcentral lists this ribosomal RNA (497 nucleotides) under uncultured bacterium. RNAcentral describes it as "partial 16S ribosomal RNA". It matches the Rfam family "Bacterial small subunit ribosomal RNA", at positions 28 to 507 of the family's 1533-position model. The record is from RNAcentral.